RNAcentral lists this unclassified non-coding RNA (210 nucleotides) under Hevea brasiliensis (rubber tree). The record is from RNAcentral. Lineage: Eukaryota; Viridiplantae; Streptophyta; Magnoliopsida; Malpighiales; Euphorbiaceae.
AGAAGCUACUUUAAUCACCCCUUCAGACCCAACCCCUAUACAAGUUCUCCCACUUUCCGCUUUGGAUUCCCAGCUCUUUUUGCGCUUCACCAUCGAAUAUCUGCUCGUUUACAAGCCCUCACGCCAUGUAUUAGAUAAACUAGCUACAGUGAGCCGUAUCAAGGCCGCGCUUGGUCGAGCCCUGGUCCCUUACUACCCCUUAGCCGGAAG